UCCCCCCAUCUCCACCCAGUAGGGAUACCCCGGUGGGGGAAAAACAGGAGACGAAACUGCAGCUGCAACCAGCAAGCGGUGGCAAGGCGGAAUGGUGGUCGCCGUCGCGUCGCCCUCGUCGGCGGCGCCCUCUGCCGGCCGCCCCCACCCGACGUACAAGGAGAUGGUCGUGCAGGCGCUGACGGAGCUGCGGGACCCGGGCGGCUCGAGCCGCCGCGCCAUCGCCAAGUACAUCGCCGACCACUUCUCCGGCCUCCACUCUAGCCACGAGGCGCUCCUCUCCGUCCACCUCCGCCGCCUCAGGUCCCAGGGCCAGCUUCGCCUCGUCUCCGGCAACUACUUCCUCUCCACCGAAGCUCCCCCUCCGCAGCCGCGGCGGAGCCCCGGCCGCCCGCCCAAGCAGAAGCGUGGCCGGGGGCGGCCUCGCAAGAACGCAGAUUUAGCUACCUCCGCUCCGAUUCCGAACCUUCAGGGGCCCAAGCGAGGGCCUGGACGCCCCCGGAAGAACGCUCUUGUCCCGGUGGCUUCAUCUGCUUUCACACUGCUGGGAGCAAUUGCUGCGCCGUCCUCAUCUGGGGUCAAACGGGGGCGUGGACGCCCACGCAAGAACGCCCUUGUCCCGGUGGCUUUCUCUGCUUCGCCGCUGCUGGGAGCCAUUGCUGCUCCGCCUCCAUCUGGAGCCAAGCGGGGGCGUGGACGCCCACGGAAGAACGCCCUUGUCCCGGUGGCUUCCUUUGCUUCGCCGCUGCCGGGACCGACUGCUCCGCUGCCUCCAUCUGGGGUCAAGCGGGGUCGUGGACGCCCACGGAAGAAUGCCAUUGUGCCGGUGUCUUCCUCUGCUUUGCCGCUGCCGGGAGCGAUUGCUCUGCCGCCUCCAUCUGGGAUCAAGAGUGGGCGUGGACGCCCACGGAAGAACGCUUUUGUCCUGGUGGCUUCCUCUACUUCGCCGCUGCCAGGAGCAACUGCUGCACCAACUCCAUCUGGGGUCAAGCGGGGGCGUGGACGCCCACGGAAGAACGCCCUUGCCAUGGUAGUUUCCUCUUCUUUGCUGCUGCCGAGAGCGAUUGUUCAGCCCCCUCCAUAUGGGGUCAAGCGGGGGCGUGGACGCCCGCGCAAGAAUUCCUACCCUGUUGCUUCGCCGCUGCUGGGAGUAGUAUCUGUGAGUAGUGACAGUGUAGUUGGUGCAAAGAGGGGACGAGGGCGCCCUCCUAAGGUUGUGGUUGCUGGGAAGAGAAAGCGUGGCCGUCCUCCUAAGGAGAAGAUGCAACCUGAAGCUGUGCAAUCUGCAGAUGCUCCAUUGACUAAGAGAAGGCCUGGAAGACCAAGAAAGGAGAAGACAUUGGAAAGUGGGCAAUUGAAAGCUGCACAGAUGGCUGAGGGUCGACAUGAAGCGCUGCCACUAUUAGCACAAGCUGCGAGCCAAGCUGAGACUGUGCAAAAUGAAGUUGAAGCUAUGAGUUUGCAACCCUUUGGCACUUCUUUGACGGAGAAGAGAGGUCGCGGGCGACCUAGAAAGAGGCCAUUGGAAACUGAAACUGCUGAAACAGGAGAUGCUACAUUGGUGGUCAAGAGGGGGCGGGGGAGGCCAAGAAAGGAGAAUCCAACAGCAGGGAGGUCUACAGAAACCGGGCUUACUGCAUCGAUGGGGAUCAAGAGAGGGCCUGGAAGGCCAAGAAAGGAGAAUCCAUCAGCAGGGAGGUCUACAGAAACCGGGCUUACUGCAUCGACGGGGAUCAAAAGAGGGCCUGGAAGGCCAAGAAAGGUCAGGCCUUUUGAAACUGUGUCUGUGGAAACUGCAGUAGAGGUAUCUAGGGACUUGACUGAAGGGAGGCCUGAAAAGGGUGAGGAUCUGGCAUCAAGGAAGAAAACAGAAACUCAAGGUGUACUUUUGGUUGAGGAGAUGGAUGCUCGGCCUGCAAAUGCUGGAUGUGUGCUAGUGUCUGGAGAAGAGGCAGAAAUUGCUCCCAUGGAUGCUGGAGGUGCAGUGCCAAUGGUAGUGUCAGGAGAGGAGGCAGCAAUUGCUCCCAUGGAUGCUGGAGGUGAAAUGCCAGGGGUAGUGUCAGGAGAGGAGGCAGCAGUUGCUCCCAUGGAUGCUGGUGGUGCAGUGCCAGGGGUUGAUCCAAUGGACUCUGACGUGGGCACCAAGAGUCAUUAGUGCACCUAAGGCAGCAACAGCAAGAAUGAGAGAAUGAUAGUACCUGGAAAGCAGAGCAGAACCUGUAGUUGUGGAACUGUGUUCAUGUCAUAAUGGAUAUAGUUAAUCGACAUACUGCAAAGAUUGCCAUAUGUUUGCAACCAAGAUGAUUACUGGUAAUCCACUGACCACUGCAGGUGAACUGAAUCUCUUUCAGGUAAUCCACAGCAUGCGACUGUGGAAACUCAGUGCAAGCUUGAAUGACAAUUGAUGAAAUAUAUGCCCUGAUUCUUUUGAUGAGAUUCUGGCUUUCUGCAAACUGAAUGCCCCCAACAAGUCAGGGCAUGCCGGGUGUCAAUCAUGAUUAAAUAAUGUUACUACUGAAUGAAAGUAACCCGAUGUUACCAGUCUUAACAGCAGCAGCAAUUCUCUUGCUCUAAAAUCUCACCCAUGUUGACUUUACAGAAUAGCGAGGGUCUUUCCUAACUGUGUUUUGGUUUGGAAAUGUUGGUUACGUUGAUUCAUACAUUUUGAUACUGCACACACCGUUCCUUUUGUUUUGAUAUCA
Panicum hallii is the source of this 2702-nucleotide RNA transcript. It is a transcript of the gene named origin recognition complex subunit 4-like, with no coding region annotated. The record is from RefSeq and is a predicted model, not a curated record. Lineage: Eukaryota; Viridiplantae; Streptophyta; Magnoliopsida; Poales; Poaceae. The transcript has 3 exons.